GAUGAACGCUAGCUACAGGCUUAACACAUGCAAGUCGAGGGGAAACGACAUCGAAAGCUUGCUUUUGAUGGGCGUCGACCGGCGCGCGGGUGAGUAACGCGUAUCCAACCUGCCCACCACUUGGGGAUAACCUUGCGAAAGUAAGACUAAUACCCAAUGAUAUCUCUAGAAGACAUCUGAAAGAGAUUAAAGAUUUAUCGGUGAUGGAUGGGGAUGCGUCUGAUUAGCUUGUUGGCGGGGGAACGGCCCAACAAGGCUUCGAUCAGUAGGGGUUCUGAGAGGAAGGUCCCCAACAUUGGAACCGAGAAAAGGUCCAAACUCCUACGGGAGGCAGCAGUGAGGAAUAUUGGUCAAUGGACGGGAGUCUGAACCAGCCAAGUAGCGUGCAGGAUGACGGCCCUAUGGGUUGUAAACUGCUUUUAUAAGGGAAUAAAGUGAGUCUCGUGAGACUUUUUGCAUGUACCUUAUGAAUAAGGACCGGCUAAUUCCGUGCCAGCCGCCGCGGUAA
Molecule: ribosomal RNA, 508 nt
Filed under: uncultured bacterium
Lineage: Bacteria
Description: partial 16S ribosomal RNA
Rfam family: Bacterial small subunit ribosomal RNA
Source: RNAcentral